This 468-nucleotide ribosomal RNA is filed under the name uncultured bacterium. RNAcentral's name for it is "partial 16S ribosomal RNA". It matches the Rfam family "Bacterial small subunit ribosomal RNA", at positions 28 to 507 of the family's 1533-position model. The record is from RNAcentral.
GACGAACGCUGGCGGCGUGCUUAACACAUGCAAGUCGAACGGAAAGGCCCUGCUUUUGUGGGGUGCUCGAGUGGCGAACGGGUGAGUAACACGUGAGUAACCUGCCCUGGACUUUGGGAUAACUUCAGGAAACUGGGGCUAAUACCGGAUAGGAGCUCCGGUUGCAUGGCGGGGGUGGGAAAGUUUCGGCGGUUGGGGCUGGACUCGCGGCUUAUCAGCUUGUUGGUGGGGUAGUGGCUUCCCAAGGCUGUGACGGGUAGCCGGCCUGAGAGGGUGACCGCCCACAUUGGGACUGAGAUACGGCCCAGCCUCCUACGGGGGGCAGCGGUGGGGAAUAUUGCACAAUGGGCGGAAGCCGGAUGCAGCAACGCCGCGUGCGGGAUGACGGCCUUCGGGUUGUAAACCGCUUUCGCCUGUGACGAAGCGUGAGUGACGGUACUGAGUGAAGAGGCACCGGCUAACUACGUG